This 361-nucleotide unclassified non-coding RNA is filed under the name uncultured fungus. RNAcentral's name for it is "sequence contains ITS1". The stretch from base 1 to 107 matches the Rfam family "5.8S ribosomal RNA", at positions 50 to 154 of the family's 154-position model. The record is from RNAcentral. Lineage: Eukaryota; Fungi.
GAAGUGCGAUAUGUAGUGUGAAUUGCAGAACGCCGCGAAUCAUCAAAUCUUUGAACGCAUUGCGCCUGCUGGCUCUAAGCCUGGCAGGCUUGCCUGUUUGAGUGUCGGUUUUUUCUAUCUUCCAUUACGGAAGGAUAUUGAGAGUACAACUGAGCGACAGUUCACUGUUCUCUUUAAAUUUAAUCGAAGCUCUCGGAAUGUUUCUAGUUAGUCGGUGGAGCGCAGUGGAGGUUUUUGGCCUUGGGUAAGCCGUUUAUUUCCUGUGCGCUGGACUGAUUAGAGCUUUCCGCGACUCGUUGCGGAUGAAUACCCCUCUUUUACAUUCGACCUCAAAUCAGGCAAGACUACCCGCUGGAUUUAA